Long non-coding RNA from Triticum dicoccoides, 3058 nucleotides. RefSeq lists it as uncharacterized. Lineage: Eukaryota; Viridiplantae; Streptophyta; Magnoliopsida; Poales; Poaceae. The transcript is spliced from 2 exons. The record is from RefSeq and is a predicted model, not a curated record.
GCCCCAUGCUGCGGGACGCCACCUGCCUUCCCCCCACCGUCGCUUGCCGCCUCCCUCCCCAACAACGUCGCGGCUACCCCGUGUUUCCACCCCCUGCAGCUCUUUGCGCCGAGAUGGUCGCCCGCAUUGUGUCGAUGCACCACUGCCGCGUGCAGGAAGUUCAACUCCACAAUCCGCGUCCGUUCUAUCUCGCUGCUGUUGGCGUGCCCCGCUCCAACUCCAUCGCCUCUGCUUCACUGGUAAAACAGUGCGACCUGAGGAACCACGGGGGUUCGAGGACGUCCAGCUCCGUAGUCCAAUUCGGUAUGAUUCACGUAACCGAUAGCCCCCAUGUAGCAUCCCAGUAUGUAUUUUAUCAUCAGUUCUUAAAGGAAAGUUGAAUUAGUGCAGUGUGUGUGUUCAAAAAAUAAUUUCAGUUUUAUAUUUUAUAGAAAAUUUAUAAUAGUUCCCACUUUUCAGUCCAUCUACUUCCCGGUCAUAAGUCCAAUUAGUAGAAAUUCAAAUAUGAAAAUAGCAUCCAUUUUGUUCUGGUAAUCAUCUUCAACCAAUUUUGUAUGUAUCAGACUUGCAUAUGUUAAUUAGUAGGGUAGAUCUCUGUUGUAUAAGAAGCUAGAUGUUGAUUUAUAAUUAUGCUGUGACUAUGCUGUGACAAAGCUAGAUGUAGAUCUCUUACUACAUUUCUUUGUUCUUUUCAUUCUGAAAAGGCUACCUUAGCAGCACAACUACAGUUUUUUUCCUUUUCAGCUCUCAAACUACAUCCUAGUUUUGUUGUCAGUUCUCUGUUUUUGAUGGAUCUGAUAUGGUUAGCCCUAUCUAGUUUUUCUGUAUGUACAGUGCUCUAGCAAAAUUUGUUGCUUCUUUCUUGUAGUACUAAUGUUGUUGCUUCUCCAAUCGAAUGUUGCUCAGCUUCCUCCCAAUCCGCUUGAUCUCGUCUUGCUCCGAAGCAUGCUUCAGUUCGACAAUAAGCUCUAGAAAGGUUCAGAGUACUUUGCACUUCAGGUUGUGGUGGGUCGUGUGUUAUGAUGUGUUCAUCGCUAGUUCCUACAGAGACGUACUCUAUGUGGACUUUUCUGUUAUAGCUAAUUGAUCGAACAUAUCUCAUAGUGAUGUGGUUCCUUCUCUGUAUUUCUUUUGCUGUGGUGCACUACCAUAUUUGCAGAAAAAAUAAGUUCUUUUGUGAGAGAAUUCGGUCUGGAAUCAUGGGAAAAAGAGGAUACAUUGAACUGGCUUUUUAUGGUUUGUCCAAUCUAUUUAAUUUGGUAUGUGUAGAAAAGAUGUUAUGUCUACAUACUAUCAUCUUGUUAGUUCCGAAUACUAUCAUUCUGGUAAGUUCAUAUGUUUUUGUUUUGAGAAGUGCAUAUCCCCCAUGAAUACUAUCCUGGUGUCCUCCUCUUGAUAUGCCCAUGAGAACUGAUACAAUUUUUUCUGCAGGUUUCCUUGUUGAUUUAUGAGGGCUACACAAGUUUAAUUUUUACGGAAGUUGAACUCUAGGAUAUGGAGUUUGAUGGAUGUGGAGGUUCUGUCAAAUAUUUCUGGUUUAUGAAUUUUCUGAUUAAUACCAAGGAUCAGUGCCCUAGCCUAGCAUAUGAUAGAAAUGCCGGGUUGCAUGUCAGUGCGUACCUAUGGUCGUCGUCUUUGGACCAGGGUCCUUUUGUUUUGGUCUGGUAGCUUCUGGCUGCCCAUUCAUUAGUACUGGAGCAUAGCAUUCUGCGUUGUUUAAGCAAACAUUUAAAUUGUAUUACAAAUUGUUGUUCUUCCCUCUGUUCCACAAAAGAUUGUGUGUUCUUUUUUGAAUCUAUGUUAGAAAGAAGUGCAGAAAACAGUAGCAGAUAGAAAACAGUAGCAAAAGUUCAAAGUUCAAACUUUCAUCAGUCCAGUAUACAAAAAGCAACAAAAAGUUCACUCUAAAAAAACACCAGUAAUGUUAUGAUCUGAAUUUCCUUUGGCCAGUCUUUUUUAGUCUGUAGCAGAUAGAGUUCCCUCCAGUUCACCGACGCCUGCGCCACCGGGUGCAGCCACUGUGAGGCGGCGCCAACAAGCAGUAUGCACGGGGGCGGAGCAGCCUUCCAGUGUGUUUGCUGGACAGGAACAAUGUGUUGAUGUCGAGAAAAACAGAGGCAAUGUUAGGGAAUUCUGUUUUUUUUCUGAAGUAUUUAUUUGCAUGCAUAAGUUUGAAGAUUGUCGUAGAGCGAGUUCAAGUGUGCUAAAUCACGACGGGCGGUGAGAGUUCAUUUAAAUCACGACGUCUGAAUCGGGGUCAUCCCCUGCCACCAUGCUCCUACAUGGCCGGGUGGUCAUGAUGAUUAGCAGUAUGUACACAAAACAUCAAUGUUUGCUUGAUGGCCAUUCCUGAUCUACAUACUUAGGUAAGAUGCAUAUACAUCUAUGCAGGUGUGUUGAUGAAUUGGUUUACUAGUAGAACCUUGUAAAAACAUUCCCACUUUACUGUAUACACGUAGAUUUUUGAAAUUACUGUCUGCUGAUGUGGCUCAUAUGCUUGAACUUACAUCUAUCAAAAAAAUGACAUGUUAAUUUCAUGCACGGCCGCCGCGGUCGUCACUGACGGUGAGACGGUUGCUUGUGUGUGUAGGAGUACUAUGUAGUUGCAGAUUAGCUAUUACUCUCACUCGGCAUGGUUUGGAGGAGUGCUACCUAGUUGCACAUUGUAUCAGGACCUGCACGAGUUUCGGCCAAGGAACCAUCAUCGGGCAGCAGGGUGUCACCGGAGUUCUAUGCAACAACGGUCAUUGAACUCGGUAAGCCUUGCACAGAUAGCAUGUGCAAUGAUGAAUGCAUGAAGAUCUUUCUAGGUCCUGGCGACUGUGAGAAAGGCAAGUGCUUAUGGGGGUUUUGCGGAAGAAGAAAGGCUUAGCUUAACUGGCAUAGCAGUACUCAAAUCAGGUGUUGAUGUCGUGGAGGCUUUGGAUCUUUCCCUAGUUGCUUGACUCCAAUAAUAAUGCCUUUUGAGAUUGUACCAUUUUGUCGUCCUUUGGCCUUGUAUCGAACUUCUAGUCAUCUUGUUACAUCAGUUCAAAAGCAUAGAGGUGGCACUGCUGUA